GACGAACGCUGGCGGCGUGCUUAACACAUGCAAGUCGAACGGAAAGGCCCUGCUUUUGUGGGGUGCUCGAGUGGCGAACGGGUGAGUAACACGUGAGUAACCUGCCCUUGACUUUGGGAUAACUUCAGGAAACUGGGGCUAAUACCGGAUAGGAGCUCCUGCUGCCUGGUGGGGGUUGGAAAGUUUCGGCGGUUGGGGAUGGACUCGCGGCUUAUCAGCUUGUUGGUGGGGUAGUGGCUUACCAAGGCUUUGACGGGUAGCCGGCCUGAGAGGGUGACCGGCCACAUUGGGACUGAGAUACGGCCCAGACUCCUACGGGAGGCAGCAGUGGGGAAUAUUGCACAAUGGGCGGAAGCCUGAUGCAGCAACGCCGCGUGCGGGAUGACGGCCUUCGGGUUGUAAACCGCUUUCGCCUGUGACGAAGCGUGAGUGACGGUAAUGGGUAAAGAAGCAUCGGCUAACUACGUG
RNAcentral lists this ribosomal RNA (468 nucleotides) under uncultured bacterium. RNAcentral's name for it is "partial 16S ribosomal RNA". It matches the Rfam family "Bacterial small subunit ribosomal RNA", at positions 28 to 507 of the family's 1533-position model. The record is from RNAcentral.